Molecule: ribosomal RNA, 2458 nt
Filed under: Streptococcus pneumoniae
Lineage: Bacteria; Bacillati; Bacillota; Bacilli; Lactobacillales; Streptococcaceae
Description: partial 23S ribosomal RNA
Rfam family: Bacterial large subunit ribosomal RNA
Source: RNAcentral
GGUCAAGUGAAGAAGCGCAUACGGUGGAUGCCUUGGCAGUCAGAGGCGAUGAAAGACGUGGUAGCCUGCGAUAAGCUUUGGGGAGUCGGCAAACAGACUGUGAUCCAGAGAUCUCUGAAUGGGGGAACCCACUCAGCAUAAGCUGAGUAUCUUGUACUGAAUACAUAGGUGCAAGAGGCGAACCAGGGGAACUGAAACAUCUAAGUACCCUGAGGAAAAGAAAUCAACCGAGAUUCCCUUAGUAGUGGCGAGCGAACGGGGACCAGCCCUUAAGUUGAUUUGAGAUUAGUGGAACGCUCUGGAAAGUGCGGCCAUAGUGGGUGAUAGCCCCGUACACGAAAAUCUCUUAUCAAUGAAAUCGAGUAGGACGGAGCACGAGAAACUUUGUCUGAAUAUGGGGGGACCAUCCUCCAAGGCUAAAUACUACUGACUGACCGAUAGUGAACCAGUACCGUGAGGGAAAGGCGAAAAGAACCCCGGAGAGGGGAGUGAAAUAGAACCUGAAACCGUAUGCGUACAAGCAGUGGGAGCCUACUUUGUUAGGUGACUGCGUACCUUUUGUAUAAUGGGUCAGCGACUUAUAUUCAGUGGCGAGCUUAACCGAAUAGGGGAGGCGUAGCGAAAGCGAGUCUUAAUAGGGCGUUUAGUCGCUGGGUAUAGACCCGAAACCGGGCGAUCUAUCCAUGGGCAGGUUGAAGGUUAGGUAACACUGACUGGAGGACCGAACCGACUACCGUUGAAAAGUUAGCGGAUGACCUGUGGAUCGGAGUGAAAGGCUAAUCAAGCUCGGAGAUAGCUGGUUCUCCUCGAAAGCUAUUUAGGUAGCGCCUCAUGUAUCACUGUAGGGGGUAGAGCACUGUUUCGGCUAGGGGGUCAUCCCGACUUACCAAACCGAUGCAAACUCCGAAUACCUACAAGUGCCGAGCAUGGGAGACACACGGCGGGUGCUAACGUCCGUCGUGAAAAGGGAAACAACCCAGACCGUCAGCUAAGGUCCCAAAGUCAUGGUUAAGUGGGAAACGAUGUGGGAAGGCUUAGACAGCUAGGAGGUUGGCUUAGAAGCAGCCACCCUUUAAAGAAAGCGUAAUAGCUCACUAGUCGAGUCGGCCUGCGCGGAAGAUGUAACGGGGCUCAAACCAUGCACCGAAGCUACGGGUAUCACCUUUUGGUGAUGCGGUAGAGGAGCGUUCUGUAAGCCUGUGAAGGUGAGUUGAGAAGCUUGCUGGAGGUAUCAGAAGUGCGAAUGCUGACAUGAGUAACGACAAUGCGAGUGAAAAACUCGCACGCCGAAAGACCAAGGUUUCCUGCGCAACGUUAAUCGACGCAGGGUUAGUCGGUCCCUAAGGCGAGGCUGAAAAGCGUAGUCGAUGGAAAACAGGUUAAUAUUCCUGUACUUCCAGUUAUUGCGAUGGAGGGACGGAGAAGGUUAGGCCAGCCUGGCGUUGGUUGUCCAGGUUUAAGGUGGUAGGCUGAAAUCUUAGGCAAAUCCGGGAUUUCAAGGCCGAGAGCUGAUGACGAGUUGCCUUUAGGCGACGAAGUGGUUGAUACCAUGCUUCCAAGAAAAGCUCCUAAGCUUCAGAUAACUGGGAACCGUACCCCAAACCGACACAGGUGGUUAGGUAGAGAAUACCAAGGCGCUUGAGAGAACUCGGGUGAAGGAACUAGGCAAAAUGGCACCGUAACUUCGGGAGAAGGUGCGCCGGCGAGGGUGAAGGACUUGCUCCGUAAGCUCAUGCCGGUCGAAGAUACCAGGCCGCUGCGACUGUUUAUUAAAAACACAGCACUCUGCAAACACGAAAGUGGACGUAUAGGGUGUGACGCCUGCCCGGUGCCGGAAGGUUAAUUGAUGGGGUUAGCGCAAGCGAAGCUCUUGAUCGAAGCCCCGGUAAACGGCGGCCGUAACUAUAACGGUCCUAAGGUAGCGAAAUUCCUUGUCGGGUAAGUUCCGACCUGCACGAAUGGCGUAACGAUGGCGGCGCUGUCUCCACCCGAGACUCAGUGAAAUUGAAAUCGCUGUGAAGAUGCAGUGUAUCCGCGGCUAGACGGAAAGACCCCGUGAACCUUUACUAUAGCUUUGCACUGGACUUUGAAUUUGCUUGUGUAGGAUAGGUGGGAGGCUUUGAAGUGGGGACGCCAGUUCUCAUGGAGCCAUCCUUGAAAUACCACCCUGGCAACUUUGAGGUUCUAACUCAGGUCCGUUAUCCGGAUCGAGGACAGUGUAUGGUGGGUAGUUUGACUGGGGCGGUCUCCUCCCAAAGAGUAACGGAGGAGUACGAAGGUGCGCUCAGACCGGUCGGAAAUCGGUCGUAGAGUAUAAAGGCAAAAGCGCGCUUGACUGCGAGACAAACACGUCGAGCAGGUACGAAAGUAGGUCUUAGUGAUCCGGUGGUUCUGUAUGGAAGGGCCAUCGCUCAACGGAUAAAAGGUACUCCGGGGAUAACAGGCUGAUACCGCCCAA